GACGAACGCUGGCGGCGUGCUUAACACAUGCAAGUCGAACGGAAAGGCCUGCUUUCCCUUGUGGAUUGCGGGUACUCGAGUGGCGAACGGGUGAGUAACACGUGAGUGAUCUGCCCCCAACUUGGGUAUAAGCCUGGGAAACUGGGUCUAAUUCCCGAUAGGACUGCAGGGUGGUGCCUGUGGUGGAAAACGAUUUUCUAGUGGUUGGGGAUGAGCUCGCGGCCUAUCAGCUUGUUGGUGGGGUAAUGGCCUACCAAGGCGGCGGCGGGUAGCCGGCCUGGGAGGGUGGACGGCCACAUUGGGACUGAGAUACGGCCCAGACUCCUACGGGAGGCAGCAGUGGGGAAUAUUGCACAAUGGGCGGAAGCCUGAUGCAGCGACGCCGCGUGGGGGAUGACGGCCUUCGGGUUGUAAACUCCUUUCGACCGCGAGGAAGCCACCUGGUUGGAAGGGUGGUGACGGUAGUGGUAGAAGAAGCACCGGCUAACUACGUG
Molecule: ribosomal RNA, 494 nt
Filed under: uncultured bacterium
Lineage: Bacteria
Description: partial 16S ribosomal RNA
Rfam family: Bacterial small subunit ribosomal RNA
Source: RNAcentral